This 496-nucleotide ribosomal RNA is filed under the name uncultured bacterium. Its description in RNAcentral is "partial 16S ribosomal RNA". It matches the Rfam family "Bacterial small subunit ribosomal RNA", at positions 28 to 506 of the family's 1533-position model. The record is from RNAcentral.
GAUGAACGCUGGCGGCGUGCCUAAUACAUGCAAGUCGAGCGAACAGACGAGGAGCUUGCUCCUCUGACGUUAGCGGCGGACGGGUGAGUAACACGUGGAUAACCUACCUAUAAGACUGGGAUAACUUCGGGAAACCGGAGCUAAUACCGGAUAAUAUAUUGAACCGCAUGGUUCAAUAGUGAAAGACGGUUUUGCUGUCACUUAUAGAUGGAUCCGCGCCGCAUUAGCUAGUUGGUAAGGUAACGGCUUACCAAGGCAACGAUGCGUAGCCGACCUGAGAGGGGGAGCGGCCACACGGGAACGGAGACCCGGUCCAAACCCCUACGGGAGGCAGCAGUGGGGAAUCUUCCGCAAGGGGGGAAAGCCUGACGGAGCAACGCCGCGGGAGGGAUGAAGGUUUUGGGAUCGUAAAACUUUUUUUUUAGGGAAAAAAAAAUGGGUAAGUAAUUUUCCCCGUCUUGACGGUACCUAAUCAAAAAGCCCCGGCUAACUACGU